Tupaia belangeri chinensis (Chinese tree shrew) is the source of this 268-nucleotide long non-coding RNA. RefSeq lists it as uncharacterized. NCBI's taxonomy places the organism in Eukaryota, Metazoa, Chordata, Mammalia, Scandentia, Tupaiidae. The transcript has 3 exons. The record is from RefSeq and is a predicted model, not a curated record.
AGGACCCGGCAGCCUCAAGGAUCAACACAGGAGAAACUGUAGUUCUUCUACCUUGGCUGGGCAAGCUUUUCUUCUUUUAUUAACCUUGGUCAAAGGAUCAGAGCUGAGACCGAACAAGGGAAGGGAUUUGGCAGACAGAAGAUGCCUGGUGCCAGAGCCAGCAGACACUUGCUCUAUAAGAGAAGGCGUGCAGCUUGUGUCAAUCAGCUUCAAGCAACAGCAGAAAAAUCCAAAGAACUCCAAGAGAAAGGAAAUAAAGACCCGAGCA